Molecule: long non-coding RNA, 768 nt
Organism: Oryza brachyantha (malo sina)
Lineage: Eukaryota; Viridiplantae; Streptophyta; Magnoliopsida; Poales; Poaceae
Exons: 4
Source: RefSeq, a predicted model, not a curated record
GCGGAAGGGGCUGGCCGCCGGCGGCUUGUCGGUAUGCCUGUCUUCAUCCCCCGGAAACCCUAAGAAAUGCACAAUUUCUUACGGAACAAGCUAAUUUGCGGAAGUUUUUGGCGCGCAACAUCUCAACGAAACCUGCAGGAAUUACUAAUUGGCUUUAAUCCACAUGCUCAAUUGACUGGAUCAAUUUUGGGCUGGUGCCAGCAGCAACCUCGUAUUUACAAGUCGUUAUCAAGCUUGUCGAGUUAUGGAGAAGGAAAGGGACGCGAGCAUGUGAAAGCCGCAUUAUGGAGAAGGAAAAACAGACGGCUAGCUAUGAAAUGUUUGACCCAAAAAGUCUCCAAGAGCAAUCGCUUUAAUUUGUCCAGUAUAGUAUCCUUUUAAAAGCUGGAUGCAGUGAUAAGGAACCAUCAAUUGAAGGAUGAUCUCCAAGUGAUAAGGAACCAUCAAUUGAAGGAUGAAUUCAAAACUCAAUUUCAACGAGCAAAGGCAGGAAGGUGGAGAACCGUUUUAUAAAUCACUAACAUAUUAAAUAAAAUUAUCGACUCGUGUUACCAUUAUUUUUUUAUAUAUUUAUUAUUGACAUGUGGACCUUUUGGUCCCACAUUGCUCUUUUUUCUUUCCACCAAAAGUAAAGAAUUGGUGGGGUGGUUGACAUGUUGGUUAUUUGGUCCCGUAAUGUUCCUUUUUCUUUCCAAAACACAGGGAGUUGGUGGUGGGGUGGUGGUAGAUUCACCACUCACCCCCACCAUUGUAGUUUUGGAGAUCAUC